This 51-nucleotide ribosomal RNA is filed under the name Beauveria bassiana. RNAcentral's name for it is "partial 28S ribosomal RNA". The record is from RNAcentral. Lineage: Eukaryota; Fungi; Ascomycota; Sordariomycetes; Hypocreales; Cordycipitaceae.
CGUUGACCUCGAAUCAGGUAGGACUACCCGCUGAACUUAAGCAUAUCAAUA